GAUGAACGCUAGCGGCAGGCCUAACACAUGCAAGUCGAGGGGCAGCACAUAAAGUGGUUUACUACUUUUGGUGGCGACCGGCGGACGGGUGCGUAACGCGUAUGCAACCUGCCUCCAACAGGGGGAUAACGGAGAGAAAUUUCCACUAAUACCCCAUAAUAUCAGAAUCGGCAUGGGUUUUGGUUGAAAACUCCGGUGGUUGGAGAUGGGCAUGCGUUGUAUUAGAUAGUUGGUGAGGUAACGGCUCACCAAGUCAACGAUACAUAGGGGGACUGAGGGGUUAGCCCCCCACACAGGUACUGAGACACGGACCAGACUCCGACGGGAGGCAGCAGUGAGGAAGAUUGGUCAAUGGGCGCAACCCUGAACCAGCCAUGCCGCGUGCAGGAAGACGGCUCUAUGAGUUGUAAACUGCUUUUACAAGGGGAUAAAUCGGUGUACGUGUACACCGUUGAAGGUACCUUGGGAAUAAGGAUCGGCUAACUCCGUGCCAGCCGCCGCAGUAA
Molecule: ribosomal RNA, 506 nt
Filed under: uncultured bacterium
Lineage: Bacteria
Description: partial 16S ribosomal RNA
Rfam family: Bacterial small subunit ribosomal RNA
Source: RNAcentral